This 21-nucleotide small nuclear RNA is filed under the name Arabidopsis thaliana (thale cress). Its description in RNAcentral is "snRNA_14922". Lineage: Eukaryota; Viridiplantae; Streptophyta; Magnoliopsida; Brassicales; Brassicaceae. The record is from RNAcentral.
UUCAAAGAAAACAUAGCGUUU